Long non-coding RNA from Austrofundulus limnaeus, 205 nucleotides. RefSeq lists it as uncharacterized. The transcript is spliced from 3 exons. The record is from RefSeq and is a predicted model, not a curated record. NCBI's taxonomy places the organism in Eukaryota, Metazoa, Chordata, Actinopteri, Cyprinodontiformes, Rivulidae.
AAGCGAGAGUCGAAGCGAUGGAGGAGUACAGUUUUAAAUGGUCCAAGGAGCAGACAGAAGCUUUUAUAAAGCUGAGGGAAAAAAAUGAGCACCUCUUCACGGGGUUUAAGAAUUCAGCCGCUGUGGGAUGGAGGACAAUUCUGGAGAAGAUGGGCCUGCAGGGUAAAGUCACCCCCCUGCAGGCCAAAAAGAAGUGGGACAACUU